Molecule: ribosomal RNA, 632 nt
Filed under: Corticiales sp. Gall_40
Lineage: Eukaryota; Fungi; Basidiomycota; Agaricomycetes; Corticiales
Description: eukaryotic LSU rRNA
Rfam family: 5.8S ribosomal RNA (bases 229-382)
Source: RNAcentral
AGGUUUCGUUGCUGACUCUCCGGAGUAUGUGCACGCCUCUCACACUUUAUUCAACCACCUGUGCACCUCUCGUAGCUUCUCAGAUGCUUUCAGUCUUCGGACUGGUGGGGACUGCUGCAGUGACUCUGCUCACAGCUUCAGUCCGAUAUCUGAGGGGUUGCGCUCUACACAAACUCUGUCAAUGUUUAAGAAUGUAUCACGGUCUUUUGGACCUUAAAACUAUAAUACAACUUUCAACAACGGAUCUCUUGGCUCUCGCAUCGAUGAAGAACGCAGCGAAAUGCGAUAAGUAAUGUGAAUUGCAGAUUUCAGUGAAUCAUCGAAUCUUUGAACGCACCUUGCGCUCCUUGGUAUUCCGAGGAGCAUGCCUGUUUGAGAGUCAUUAAAUUCUCAACUCUCUAGCGGUUGUCAUGACCGCUGGUAGAGCUUGGAUGUGAGGGUUUUGCCGGCUCCUUGCAGAGUCUGGCUCCCUUGAAAAAUAUUAGCGCAGCUUUGCACUGUCUGCUACAGGUGUGAUAAUCUAUCUACUCCUGAUUAGUGACGCGCAUGAAUAGAGCUAUGUGCUUCUAAUCGUCUCCGGACAAUUUUUUGAACUUGACCUCAAAUCAGGUAGGACUACCCGCUGAACUUAA